AUUAAUUAUUGAAUUGCUAGGUAACAAACCAUCUCCAAAUUAAUGGCUUAAAACAACUAUGAUUUCUUAGUGCUCACGAGUAUAUUAUGGAUGGGCUUGAGCAUUGUGCUGACCUGGCCAGCUCGGACGAACUUGGCAGGGCUUACACUGUCAUCUGUCAUCAGCUGAUGGCUCAGUGGGGACUGAUGCAGUCUAGGGUGGUCUCACUUCCACGUCCAGUGAUUGGCUGGCUCUUGGUUGGAGUGAUGGGGUUGACUGGGCCACAUUGUCUCUCAUCAUCUGGAGAGCUAGCCCAGGCUCAUGUGAAGAGUGAUGACAGGUUUCCAAGGAAGCCAGCAGCAGCAUGCAAGACUGUUUAGGACUUAGGCUGACAAAUGGUACAACGUCUCUUCCUCUGUAUUCUGUUGGCCAAAACAAGUCAUAAGGCCAUUUCAGAUUCAAGAGCUGGAAAGUCACAUAAUAAGGAGUAUGGAUGCGGGACAGAGUGAAGAAUUGGACCUAUUUUUGCAACCACAUCCUUUUUAUUCUUUAUGAUGGUCUAGAAAGCAACCUGUCAUAUCCUUACACCUUAUUGAAUUUUAUGAACCUUGCCCAUGAAUCAGUUUGUCUCUGACAGUAACCUGGAUCUACCUUAAUGUGUAUGCAUCAUCAUCUCUAAGGCAAUAUUAUAGAUUAGGAAAAAAUCUGUGUUAAAAAGAGGGUGAAGGACACGUUGCAGAAAAAUUUCUCAAAUCUUUCAAUAUGUUUGUGUGCCUGUGAAUGGUUUUUGCAUUUCCUAAUCUUAUUUGAUCUUAUCUUCAAGGGGUCACGUGUGAUUCAAGGAUCAGUUGGUGGAAAAUGGUGUUUCAAGCUGUGUUUCCAGUCUUGGGCAUUCACCUAUGAAGUACAAGCUGUGGCAAGAAUCAACCUUCUAGAUCAAAGGGAUAUAAUGACAAAAGAAAAGGACGAAGUAUCCCCAGAGUAAGAAAUUCCAGACCAAAGUCAAGGCUGGACAGCUUCAUGGAUUAGCAUAUAUUAGAUGUUUCAUACUUGGAGCUUAUACCGUAAAGUAGCAUGGUCAACACACCAGCUCUUACACAUAGCAUAAGGACUACACCUGCAUACUCUUGAUUUACUUUAAUGUUUUCUUUCCUACCCCAAGACUGGAAAAAGCACCAGUUUUGAGAUUGUGUCUGAUUUUUCAUCCCUUGUGUGUUCCUACAGCUUUUUCCUUCCAUGAGUCUUUAAUAAAAUGGCUGAACACAUUU
Molecule: long non-coding RNA, 1247 nt
Organism: Leopardus geoffroyi (Geoffroy's cat)
Lineage: Eukaryota; Metazoa; Chordata; Mammalia; Carnivora; Felidae
Exons: 2
Source: RefSeq, a predicted model, not a curated record